Non-coding RNA from Procambarus clarkii (red swamp crayfish), 309 nucleotides. NCBI's taxonomy places the organism in Eukaryota, Metazoa, Arthropoda, Malacostraca, Decapoda, Cambaridae. The record is from RefSeq and is a predicted model, not a curated record.
UGCCUUGCAUGUGAUACAACACCUGUGGCUGUACAUAUUGAUGGCAACAAGAAACUGUAUCGUUACAACAAAGUUGGGAGAGGGAUCAGAAACUCAUAUUAUUCUGGUGGUAUCUUCGCUUGUGACAAAGAAGUUCAAGAUCACGUUUCCACUAUUCAGAACCUUAAAACUCAAAGUAGCCAUAUGUGUGGAGUGUCGACAUUGAAAGCUGCCAAAAAUAAACCUGUUUCAUUUAGAAGUUUGGAUGAAACCGGCAUAAGCAUGGCUUCCUGUCGACAUGGAAUUAUUCUUGCUGCAUUAAAUAUGUAU